CGGACACACUGGAACUGAAACACGGUCCAGACUCCUACGGGAGGCAGCAGUGGGGAAUUUUGCGCAAUGGGGGAAACCCUGACGCAGCAACGCCGCGUGGAGGAUGAAGUAUCUUGGUACGUAAACUCCUUUCGAUUGGGAAGAUAAUGACGGUACCAAUAGAAGAAGCCCCGGCUAACUUCGUGCCAGCAGCCGCGGUAAUACGAGGGGGGCAAGCGUUGUUCGGAUUUAUUGGGCGUAAAGGGUGCGUAGGCGGUUUGGCAAGUCUUAUGUGAAAUCUUCGGGCUCAACCCGAAGCCUGCAUAAGAAACUGCCGGGCUUGAGUAUGGGAGAGGUGAGUGGAAUUUCCGGUGUAGCGGUGAAAUGCGUAGAUAUCGGAAGGAACACCUGUGGCGAAAGCGGCUCACUGGACCAUAACUGACGCUGAGGCACGAAAGCUAGGGGAGCAAACAGGAUUAGAUACCCUGGUAGUCCUAGCCCUAAACGAUGAUUGCUUGAUGUGGCAGGUACCCAAUCCUGCCGUGUCGAAGCUAACGCGAUAAGCAAUCCGCCUGGGGAGU
This 560-nucleotide ribosomal RNA is filed under the name uncultured bacterium. RNAcentral's name for it is "bacterial SSU rRNA". It matches the Rfam family "Bacterial small subunit ribosomal RNA", at positions 305 to 881 of the family's 1533-position model. The record is from RNAcentral.